This 422-nucleotide ribosomal RNA is filed under the name uncultured bacterium. RNAcentral describes it as "bacterial SSU rRNA". It matches the Rfam family "Bacterial small subunit ribosomal RNA", at positions 355 to 774 of the family's 1533-position model. The record is from RNAcentral.
UGAGGAAUAUUGGUCAAUGGGGGCAACCCUGAACCAGCCAUGCCGCGUGGAGGAAGAAGGCCCUAAGGGUUGUAAACUUCUUUUGUACGGGGGUAAACUUUUCUACGUGUAGAAAACUGAAAGUACUGUACGAAUAAGGAUCGGCUAACUCCGUGCCAGCAGCCGCGGUAAUACGGAGGAUCCAAGCGUUAUCCGGAUUUAUUGGGUUUAAAGGGUGCGUAGGCGGGUUUGUAAGUCAGUGGUGAAAGACUGUCGCUUAACGAUAGCAUUGCCAUUGAUACUGCAAGUCUUGAGUACACUUGAGGUAGGCGGAAUGUGUAGUGUAGCGGUGAAAUGCUUAGAUAUUACACAGAACACCAAUUGCGAAGGCAGCUUACUAAAUUGUUACUGACGCUGAGGCACGAAAGCGUGGGGAUCAAACA